Non-coding RNA from Pelobates cultripes (western spadefoot toad), 142 nucleotides. Lineage: Eukaryota; Metazoa; Chordata; Amphibia; Anura; Pelobatidae. The record is from the annotation of a GenBank genome assembly.
AGAGACAACAAAUACAGGGUGCGCUUGAUAAAAUGAAAGAUGGUAAAAAAAAAAGUCUCUAUAGGUACAGUGUAGACCUAUAGAGACUUUUUUUUUUUUUUUUUUUACCAUCUUUCAUUUUAUCAAGCGCACCCUGUAUUUG